ACUAGUGCGCAAUGCGCAGACUCGGAUGCCACACCCGGUGACAGGCGCGAAGUGCUGCCUGACCCGCUGAGUUCCUCCAGUAGAUGUUUUUUUUGUUCAAGAAUCCAGCAUCUUCUGUUGUUUUCUACUGAGUUGGGGAUAAUAAGCACAAGCGCAAAUAUGAAGUCAAACGGUGAGCUUCACGUCUGUCUUGGAGAGGGUUCCACCCCAGAGAAUUCAGAAGUUUGGUGACACUGGCUGAACAAUAUCUAACCUUGUGAUGUGGACUCGAUAAGAAGUUGUUCUCCUCCUCUAGAUUUUAGGUCAUACUUUGUGAUACCACUGUCAACUGUCUGAUGUUGUACCUUAAUCAUGAAAGAGAGUCAUGCACUCUGAUUUGGAAGGGAAAAUUUACAUUUUCUACCCCCAUGUUAGUCUGUACACCUUAAGGUUAAAUCUAACAAAAUCCAAAAGUAUACUCAUCAGAAGUACGAUUUAUUUUUAACAAAACUAUUGGAAACAACUUUAACAUAGGAAAAAACUGGCACAGAUUUCACAAUCUUAUUUUUCAUGUGUGAAACUGCCUGCAGCAUUGGAAAAUUACUCUCAUGUUUCACAAUGAACGAUCAAAUCAAAGUUGAACAAACAACAUGGUUUAUUGUAAUGCAAAUGCUCUGUGUUGUAAUACCUCUUGACCUUUGCAAAACAGAAGUUUAAAGAUGUAAACACUGAUAUCUAAGCAGUUCCGAGCAAUCUGUGGAACUUCAUUUGUCUAUUUUGUCUUCAAGAGUGACUAUUAAUGUUCUACGGUUGUUCCUUUGUUUUGUAAAUGUUUUAGAGGGAGCAUCUAUUUUGAAUCUAAGUGUGAAAUGGUACAUAAAAUUGUCCAGCUAAAUUAAAAUUUCCCCCCAAAAUAUAUUAGCAAAAUUCGAAAUGUAAGAUGUUCUCUGAACUAUUUCAAAUGGAAAGCAUAACAGAACGCAACCAUUUUAAUUUAUUUUCAGUCUAGAUGAAGGGUUUUCCUCCACAGAUGCUGACUGAUCUUCUGAAUUCCCCCAGCUACUCUUUCAUUGCUACAGAUUCCAGCAUCAGAGGUCUCUUGUGCUAAAGAGAUUUUAAGUAUGCCCACUGGUGCCUAGCCACCUGAGAGGAUGAGCAUAAUUUGAACCAACAAAUCAGUGAAUCUUACAUAGUUGGCCUGGAGAUAUGACUGGAACCUGAUACGUUAAUUCAAUCAUAAUAGCCGGAUCUCCUGCAAGUAUUUAUAGCUAAACUGAGAACUACAAUCUCACCUCUCAAUACCAUUAACGCUCAUUGAGUUCAGCAGUCAACUUGUGCAAUGAUUCCAACACGUGGAUCACAGACACAUACUGAAGACAACUUGACCAAUCUUCAUAGCACUGACAAUAUUUUUCAAACAUUUUAAAUAAUUGAAAAAUAUUUGGUAAGAAAACGGAGAAGAUGCAGGUGAGGGCUCCACCAACCACAGCCCUGUUUCCUAAAAUGAUGAGCUGGAUAUCUUGGAGAGCAAGGACUCAUCUCAAGAACAGAUGUCAUAGAGUGAUACAGUGUGAAAACAGCCCCUUCGGCCCAACUUGCCCACACUGGCCGACAUGUCCCAGCCACACUAGU
Leucoraja erinaceus (little skate) is the source of this 1611-nucleotide long non-coding RNA. RefSeq lists it as uncharacterized. The record is from RefSeq and is a predicted model, not a curated record. NCBI's taxonomy places the organism in Eukaryota, Metazoa, Chordata, Chondrichthyes, Rajiformes, Rajidae. The transcript is spliced from 3 exons.